UACAGAGGGGGCAAGCGUUGUUCGGAAUUACUGGGCGUAAAGGGCGCGUAGGCGGCCCUCUAAGUCAGACGUGAAAUCCCUCGGCUCAACCGGGGAACUGCGUCUGAGACUGGAAGGCUUGAAUCCGGGAGAGGGAUGUGGAAUUCCAGGUGUAGCGGUGAAAUGCGUAGAUAUCUGGAGGAACACCGGUGGCGAAGGCGGCAUCCUGGACCGGUAUUGACGCUGAGGCGCGAAAGCCAGGGGAGCAAACGGG
RNAcentral lists this ribosomal RNA (253 nucleotides) under uncultured bacterium. RNAcentral describes it as "partial 16S ribosomal RNA". It matches the Rfam family "Bacterial small subunit ribosomal RNA", at positions 524 to 776 of the family's 1533-position model. The record is from RNAcentral.